UUAUUUUUUUGUCAAUUGGAAAAUGUGGUUUCAUGUCAUAAAAUAUGCUUCAUAAUCCAAAGUAUAGCUUCUGAUUUAUUUUGAUUUCAGGGUUAAAUGUGACCUGUAUAUAUGUUCUUGACAGCUUUCCCAAGGUUCAAUCAGUUUUAUAUUCAGCAUUCAGGAACUAGUCUGUUAACUGAAACAUUUAACUGGGUUCUUUUCUUCUUUUUGUUUCUUCUGUGGUUUCUCUGAAUGAGUGAGUCUGAGAUGGGAUGUGUGACUGGAUAAACGUAUGCAUUCACAGCGACGAUGUGUUUCGUCUUCUGAGGAUGUAAUGUUAGUAAAGUUGAGCUUCUGCAUUGUAUUUUAUUUGUACAAAAUCUGUAAAAUUAUGUGUUGCAUUUAUGUAUAUUAUUUACCAGAGUUAUUAAUGUAAAAAAAAAUAUAUUCCCCCUUUCAAAAUUAAUAGCAUUGUUUACCCUGACAAAAUGCGAGUAAGUAAUAGAUAUGCAUAUCUUCUGAAAUGAAGCAAACUGUAAUUUGAUUAUAUGGGUCACAUGAUUUAGUUAGCCUUCUUGUGGUUUACACAUGUGCUGAGAUGAUGCUACAGCAUGUGUGUGUGUGUGUGUGUGUGUGUGUGUGAUCUGAUCAUGUUCAGUUUGUAAAAGUUGACACUGUGAUCUUUAGUGUCUAGCCGUCCCCAUGAUGUCUGUCUUUGUGCAGGACGCAGAGAAAGAGAAAAUGCUCUGUUUCUGCUCACGCAUGAUUCACAAUAAACAUCAACUUAAAGGGCUCAGAACAAA
This is a long non-coding RNA of Carassius carassius (crucian carp), 785 nucleotides long. RefSeq lists it as uncharacterized. The record is from RefSeq and is a predicted model, not a curated record. The transcript is spliced from 2 exons. NCBI's taxonomy places the organism in Eukaryota, Metazoa, Chordata, Actinopteri, Cypriniformes, Cyprinidae.